UGUGAGCAUGCAUACAUGUGUGAAUGUGU
Molecule: non-coding RNA, 29 nt
Filed under: Rattus norvegicus (Norway rat)
Lineage: Eukaryota; Metazoa; Chordata; Mammalia; Rodentia; Muridae
Source: RNAcentral